RNAcentral lists this transfer RNA (74 nucleotides) under Lentisphaerota bacterium. Its description in RNAcentral is "Lentisphaerae bacterium (anaerobic digester metagenome) tRNA-Gly". It matches the Rfam family "tRNA". Rfam says of the family: Transfer RNA (tRNA) molecules are approximately 80 nucleotides in length. Their secondary structure includes four short double-helical elements and three loops (D, anti-codon, and T loops). Lineage: Bacteria; Pseudomonadati; Lentisphaerota. The record is from RNAcentral.
GCGGGUGUAGCAUAGUGGUAAUGCUCCAGCCUUCCAAGCUGGCUAUGUGGGUUCGAUUCCCAUCACCCGCUCCA